UCUCGGCCAGCAUUUGCUCUCUUUUUACCUGCGUCUUUGCCAGCACAUCAUCGUCUCUCUCUCCCACGCUCAGUCCAAUUUUUCAGUAGAAGCCCCAGGUGGUGACUGAAGCAGCUCUCCUUGACGCUGCCACUUGCCAGUUUCUCCAUCUGCUUCGGUCAACAAUAGCAACAACCGAAGCUCCUCGGUUGACCGCAAAAGCCCAACAGCAGCGACGUCCACGAAGCUUCUCCAUCGUCCACGUCCGCACGUCUCUGCCAGCGUUUCUUUCCCCACGGAGUUGUCACGAAGAUCAAAGGAGCCCCAACAGCUGCUUCGGCGUCUGUUCCAUCUCUCGGCAACGACGCCACUUACACCUCCACGGACGUCUUCGCCAGCAGCUGCUUCUUCGGUCAACACUGCAAUCCACCAAAGACCAGCAAAUUUGUUGCAGCUGCUUCGUCGUCCACGCGUCCCUCAGCUCCAAGCCAGCACAGGUCAACCUCGUGUCUUCUCCGCCGGUUUGUUGACCAGCAACAUCCACUGAGGACGCCAGCGAACAGCUUCCUCCUUCGCCUGCGUCUUCUCCAGUUCGUGGGCCAGCUUCAGCAACCCAUCGAGUCCAUGAAGCAAGCCGUGAGAUCCCGCAGUCCUCAAGCCAAGCAAAGCCAGUAAUCUCGGCCCAUAGUGCAGUCUUCAAGCCCAGUCAAAAUUUCACCAAUAGCAACUCCAUUGAGCCCAAGUCAGCAAGCCCAAAAAUCCAGCAGUUCAGCCCACGUAGAGCUCGGCCCAUCUUCAGCAAUAAUAGCCCAGCUUUUGAAGCCCAUCUUCAGCAAGCCCAACCCAACUUGGGUUUAGCCCAAAAUCAAGAACAAAUCUCACUUGGGCUGAGAUUUGUUGGGCCCGUUCUAGGCCCAGUUCAAGCCUGCUGAUGUCCCGGUCUUCGCGUUUAUCAAGUGAGUUUUAUUCACUAAUGCCUUAUUAGUUUGCUAAUUAUACUUAAAUAUUGAUUAUAUUUAAUUAAGUGCACUUAGGUGGUUAGAUUAGUUUAGAACAAUUAAAUUAGUGACUUAAUGAUGUCUGUUAGGUGGUUAGACCUAGUCAUUAGCAAGUAGAAAGGUUCGGUUAUUUUCGGUUAUUUAUUGAACGGGUCUCAGGAUUUUUCCCGAUUUGUCUUGGCUUCCAAUCAGGCAUUAUGGGCAUAAAUUAUUUAUUUAUUUAAUUUUCGAAAUUAAUUAAUUAAUUAAUUAUUUUUCCGGAAAUUAGGCAGAAUUAGGCAGGGAUAGCCAACGACCGGAAUUUUAUGCUGAUUGUCAUGGUGCAGUCUAUUUAUUUAAUUGAGCUUCAUUUUGUGAUAAAUUGAUUUAUGAGUGAUUUUAGGAUUUAUUUCUAAAUUGAAUAAUUUUUUGUUAUUAAUUACAAAAUAACCGGGCAUCGAUUAAUAGUGUCAAAAAUAUUUUGAUGGGCUACAGAAAAAUGUGGGAUUUAUAGAAAAGAAAUUACUAUAUUUUGGCUAAGGCCGAUCGUGUCCAAUGCAUGUGUAUUUUUAUCAAGAAAUGAUAAAAAUGGUAAAUUGAUUGUGUUUUUAGAAUAAAAAUAUUAUACCGACUCGGUGACUCAAUAUGUCAUUUUGGAGAAUAAACGUUAUGAUGAAUAUACUCGAUAUACCAUGUCGACUCGGUGACUCUAUACGUCAUUUUGGAGAAUGGACGACAUGCCAUAACGGCUCGGUGACUCAAUAUGUCAUUUUAGAGAAUGGAUAUUAUGAUGAAUAUACUCGGUAGCUUGGUAUGUCAUUAAGGAAAAUCAGUCUUAUAAUACACCGGCUUGGUAACCCAAUGGGUUAUUUUAUAGAAUGGAUAGUAUUGAUUGAAAUGACCAAGAAUGGUUUGGUCGACAUGUAAUCGACUAGGUCGAUUAAUCGAGAUAUCGAUCCGUGAGAUAAUAAUUGGGUGCUUAUUUGAACUGUGCUAAUAUGCAGGAUGUAAUCUGAGGCCAAGGUAAGCUUUUUGACUCGUGUUGUGCAUAGGCAGCCCUAAGGUGUAUUGGUUUACUAAUCGGGUUUUAGAGGGGUAAAAAUUGCUAAGAUAUUGUCUCAUUGGUUAUUGAAUAACCAUUUCAGGUCCCUAGAUGCAGCAGGCUUGGAUUUUGAAGAACUCGAAAGUCUGGUGCGGUAUGCUGGAGGCUUCAGUUGGAGUUUGAAGGAUGAUGAAGAGGAGGACGGGGACUCGUAGCUUGUAGAACCCCACUUCUGCUUGUAGACCUUGUUUUAAACUAGCUUAAUGUGAAUUAGACUUAAUAGUUCACCUUGUAUAUAU
This 2297-nucleotide long non-coding RNA is filed under the name Eucalyptus grandis. RNAcentral's name for it is "long non-coding RNA (EGRA_LNC004689)". Lineage: Eukaryota; Viridiplantae; Streptophyta; Magnoliopsida; Myrtales; Myrtaceae. The record is from RNAcentral.